AGUGAACGCUGGCGGUAGGCCUAACACAUGCAAGUCGAACGGCAGCACAGUAAGAGCUUGCUCUUACGGGUGGCGAGUGGCGGACGGGUGAGGAAUACAUCGGAAUCUACUUUUUCGUGGGGGAUAACGUAGGGAAACUUACGCUAAUACCGCAUACGACCUACGGGUGAAAGCAGGGGAUAUUCGGACCUUGCGCGAUUGAAUGAGCCGAUGUCGGAGUAGCUAGUUGGCGGGGUAAAUGCCCACCAAGGCGACGAUCCGUAGCUGGUCUGAGAGGAUGAUCAGCCACACUGGAACUGAGACACGGUCCAGACGCCUACGGGAGGCAGCAGUGGGGAAUAUUGGACAAUGGGCGAAAGCCUGAUCCAGCCAUACCGCGUGGGUGAAGAAGGCCUUCGGGUUGUAAAGCCCUUUUGUUGGGAAAGAAAAGCAGCAGGUUAAUACCCCGCUGUUCUGACGGUACCCAAAGAAUAAGCACCGGCUAACUUCGUG
Molecule: ribosomal RNA, 492 nt
Filed under: uncultured bacterium
Lineage: Bacteria
Description: partial 16S ribosomal RNA
Rfam family: Bacterial small subunit ribosomal RNA
Source: RNAcentral